AUGACGGAGGCACUGGAAAACCAAGUGAAGAGCAAGGUUACUGUCAAGGGCCAUCUGCACACCUACAGGUUCUGCGACAACGUGUGGACAUUCAUAUUAACCGACGCGCAGUUCAAGAACGAGGAGACGACCGAGCAGGUGGGCAAGGUGAAGAUCGUGGCCUGCGACUCCAAGCUACUCAGCCAAUAA
This 189-nucleotide ribosomal RNA is filed under the name Triticum aestivum (bread wheat). Its description in RNAcentral is "partial small subunit ribosomal RNA". The record is from RNAcentral. Lineage: Eukaryota; Viridiplantae; Streptophyta; Magnoliopsida; Poales; Poaceae.